GACGAACGCUGGCGGCGUGCUUAACACAUGCAAGUCGAACGGAAAGGCCCUGCUUUUGUGGGGUGCUCGAGUGGCGAACGGGUGAGUAACACGUGAGUAACCUGCCCCUGACUUUGGGAUAACUUCAGGAAACUGGGGCUCAUACCGGAUAGGAGCUCCUGCUGCAUGGUGGGGGGUGGAAAGUUUCGGCGGUUGGGGAUGGACUCGCGGCUUAUCAGCUUGUUGGUGGGGUAGUGGCUUACCAAGGCUGUGACGGGUAGCCGGCCUGAGCGGGUGACCGGCCACAUUGGGACUGAGAUACGGCCCAGACUCCUACGGGAGGCAGCAGUGGGGAAUAUUGCACAAUGGGCGGAAGCCUGAUGCAGCAACGCCGCGUGCGGGAUGACGGCCUUCGGGUUGUAAACCGCUUUCGCCUGUGACGAAGCGUGAGUGACGGUAAUGGGUAAAGAAGCACCGGCUAACUACGUG
This 468-nucleotide ribosomal RNA is filed under the name uncultured bacterium. RNAcentral's name for it is "partial 16S ribosomal RNA". It matches the Rfam family "Bacterial small subunit ribosomal RNA", at positions 28 to 507 of the family's 1533-position model. The record is from RNAcentral.